UAAUCAUUCAUUAGUAAAUUAGGAGCAUUCCUCACCCAGUGCAUCAGCACCUGAGAGCAAUUCUCUGAAGCCCCAGGAAAGGUGUUAAGCUUUGCCUCAUAAUGGAGGGAUAUUUCAGAAGGGAAACUACUGCUUUUUCAUUUUUGCAAGAUAUAUAAAGCGCAGAUAUGUAAAAAGUGUUAAAACCUGAGCCUGAAGAUCUUUGCAACUGCUCCAGCUCCAGCAGACCACUGUCUGGGAGGUGAAGAAGGUGAGCGGUUGCUGCAUACAGCUGAAGCUGAGUUGUUGUUGGACUGAGGUGAAAGCUCGAAGAGAGUGCUGUGACUCCGUGUCAAGAGAUCUUCUGGCAGCUGAAGAACAGAGCAGAAGAUUUCUGCAACCCAGACAAGUUGCUGUAGAAAUCACACUUGUGAGUAGCAGCUCUUGCCAUGCAUAUUUUACUUUCCAACCUCUGGUUGGAAAGAUGGAGGAGUGAUGGAGAUCCACUGGUCCUCCAGCUGGGGCGUCUUCAUGUCUGAAACCCGAUUUAGAAACUUGAAAGCUCACAGGACCAACUGCACAACCCUGCGGUCAUAUUUCCUGUGCUUGGCACCCUGCCACGGGCACUGGGAGCACGGGUCCGUCGAUGCUGACUGCUGCUUCAUGCUCAAUGAUCUCAUGGAUGUGCAGAGUGAAGAAGGAUAAUCCCCAGCGAAGACAGGGGGCAGGGUUGAGCUGACCUUUGGAAGAGUGAAGAGAGGGAGAUGUUCCACCGCUUCUCUGCCACCACCUUAAAGCCAAUGGGAGCUUAAACUUCAUCUAGGUGAAAAUGAUGGCAAGGAAACGACAGAGGGCAGCUGCUACCUCCGGCUAUGCUCCAUCGGGAGGGUAGAAUAGAAAGGGAGAGGAUGUUUUAGCCCUUGACUGCCAUUUAUUCCAGCACUUACAAAAAAAUAUAUAUAUAUAUAUAUUAAAUCCUAAUCCUGAAACACCUAUUAAAAAGAGUACUAAACCAUGGCAGAAGAGUGUCUGUGAGGUAGGGCUUUUUGCAUUAACCCAGCAGAUUUUUUAUUUUAUUUAUUUUUUACUGUAAAUGAACUCUCACUGGCUUUCUUUAAAGGUCACCUUUUUUAUAACUACUGCGCUGGGAAAAUGCUUUUAAGUUUCAUCUGCUUUGUGUGUGUGCAUUUUCUAAGCCCUGGGUUUACUUCUUAUUGGAAAAUGGUCUUGGAUCAUCUCUGAGUUGGAAAUUUUAUUCUAUUUGUCAGGUGCAUGUGAAAAAGACAUUUUUUUUAACUCUUUAGACACCCAAUUUAUCGUUUUCAUUGGGUGCUCAGCA
This 1318-nucleotide long non-coding RNA is filed under the name Anser brachyrhynchus (Pink-footed goose). RNAcentral's name for it is "lncRNA (ENSABRG00000014334.1)". The record is from RNAcentral. Lineage: Eukaryota; Metazoa; Chordata; Aves; Anseriformes; Anatidae.